UGUUAAUAAUGUAUGUUGUUAUUUAGUAUAACCAUUGCUUGUUAAAUGUAUAAUUUCUUAUCAAGAACGACUGUGGAUGAGUUCUUAUCAGCUUUUUUAAUAAUAUUUUUAUUCGCUCGUAAAUUGUUUAAAGCUAUUCUUUCCUUCUUACUUAGAUUGUCUCUAAUUAUGUUCAUUUUCAAUUUGCUGAGUUCCAGUUUUGUCGCAAAUAGAUAAUUUUCAAUUGUAUUAUUUGCAUGUUUCGGUUUAUAUCCUGAUUUUCUCCUGAAUGGGUGGUAUGUAUAUGUAUUGGAAAUAUCUUCAAAUUGAAAUUUACAUCUCAUUUUCCUCGACAUUUCAUCGAAAUCUUGUAAUAGUUUUUGUUUCGCAUUUUUAUUUAAGGUUUUAGGAAUAAAUUUUAAACCUUUUGCUAAAACAAGUAUUUCAUCAUUGGUUAGGUUUUCUUGAGUAAAUAUAUCUAUGUAAUUUAACGCUUUCUCAAUUUUUGCAUUGUGUUGAUUGUUCUUUAUAAAACUGUUUUCUCCUUCUAUUAUGAGUAUUCAAUUUACUCAAAUAUUUUUUUUGUUUUUUU
This 571-nucleotide long non-coding RNA is filed under the name Mytilus galloprovincialis (Mediterranean mussel). The record is from RNAcentral. Lineage: Eukaryota; Metazoa; Mollusca; Bivalvia; Mytilida; Mytilidae.